GAUGAACGCUAGCGGGAGGCUUAACACAUGCAAGUCGAGGGGUAAAUGGUAGCAAUACUAUGAGACCGGCGGACGGGUGCGUAACGCGUAUGCAACAUACCUUGUGCAGGGGGAUAGCCCGUGGAAACGCGGAUUAAUAUUCCAUAGUCCAGCUAUAUCGCAUGGUAUAGUUGGUAAAGAUUUAUCGGCACAAGUUUGGCAUGCGUCUGAUUAGCUUGUUGGUAGGGUAACGGCCUACCAAGGCGACGAUCCUUAGCUGGUCUGAGAGGAUGAUCAGCCACACUGGGACUGAGACACGGCCCAGACUCCUACGGGAGGCAGCAGUGGGGAAUAUUGGACAAUGGGCGAAAGCCUGAUCCAGCAAUGCCGCGUGAGUGAUGAAGGCCUUAGGGUUGUAAAGCUCUUUUACCCGGGAUGAUAAUGACAGUACCGGGAGAAUAAGCCCGGCUAACUCCGUGCCAGCAGCCGCGGUAAUAGUGUGUGUACG
This 487-nucleotide ribosomal RNA is filed under the name uncultured bacterium. Its description in RNAcentral is "bacterial SSU rRNA". It matches the Rfam family "Bacterial small subunit ribosomal RNA", at positions 28 to 536 of the family's 1533-position model. The record is from RNAcentral.